RNAcentral lists this ribosomal RNA (1689 nucleotides) under Klebsiella pneumoniae. Its description in RNAcentral is "bacterial SSU rRNA". The stretch from base 179 to 1689 matches the Rfam family "Bacterial small subunit ribosomal RNA". The record is from RNAcentral. Lineage: Bacteria; Pseudomonadati; Pseudomonadota; Gammaproteobacteria; Enterobacterales; Enterobacteriaceae.
AGAGUUCAUAUCGACGGCGGUGUUUGGCACCUCGAUGUCGGCUCAUCACAUCCUGGGGCUGAAGUAGGUCCCAAGGGUAUGGCUGUUCGCCAUUUAAAGUGGUACGCGAGCUGGGUUUAGAACGUCGUGAGACAGUUCGGUCCCUAUCUGCCGUGGGCGCUGGAGAAUUGAGGGGGGCUGCUCCUAGUACGAGAGGACCGGAGUGGACGCAUCACUGGUGUUCGGGUUGUCAUGCCAAUGGCACUGCCCGGUAGCUAAAUGCGGAAGAGAUAAGUGCUGAAAGCAUCUAAGCACGAAACUUGCCCCGAGAUGAGUUCUCCCUGAGACUNCAUAAUGUCGCAAGACCAAAGUGGGGGACCUUCGGGCCUCAUGCCAUCAGAUGUGCCCAGAUGGGAUUAGCUAGUAGGUGGGGUAACGGCUCACCUAGGCGACGAUCCCUAGCUGGUCUGAGAGGAUGACCAGCCACACUGGAACUGAGACACGGUCCAGACUCCUACGGGAGGCAGCAGUGGGGAAUAUUGCACAAUGGGCGCAAGCCUGAUGCAGCCAUGCCGCGUGUGUGAAGAAGGCCUUCGGGUUGUAAAGCACUUUCAGCGGGGAGGAAGGCGAUAAGGUUAAUAACCUUGUCGAUUGACGUUACCCGCAGAAGAAGCACCGGCUAACUCCGUGCCAGCAGCCGCGGUAAUACGGAGGGUGCAAGCGUUAAUCGGAAUUACUGGGCGUAAAGCGCACGCAGGCGGUCUGUCAAGUCGGAUGUGAAAUCCCCGGGCUCAACCUGGGAACUGCAUUCGAAACUGGCAGGCUAGAGUCUUGUAGAGGGGGGUAGAAUUCCAGGUGUAGCGGUGAAAUGCGUAGAGAUCUGGAGGAAUACCGGUGGCGAAGGCGGCCCCCUGGACAAAGACUGACGCUCAGGUGCGAAAGCGUGGGGAGCAAACAGGAUUAGAUACCCUGGUAGUCCACGCCGUAAACGAUGUCGAUUUGGAGGUUGUGCCCUUGAGGCGUGGCUUCCGGAGCUAACGCGUUAAAUCGACCGCCUGGGGAGUACGGCCGCAAGGUUAAAACUCAAAUGAAUUGACGGGGGCCCGCACAAGCGGUGGAGCAUGUGGUUUAAUUCGAUGCAACGCGAAGAACCUUACCUGGUCUUGACAUCCACAGAACUUUGCAGAGAUGGUUUGGUGCCUUCGGGAACUGUGAGACAGGUGCUGCAUGGCUGUCGUCAGCUCGUGUUGUGAAAUGUUGGGUUAAGUCCCGCAACGAGCGCAACCCUUAUCCUUUGUUGCCAGCGGUUCGGCCGGGAACUCAAAGGAGACUGCCAGUGAUAAACUGGAGGAAGGUGGGGAUGACGUCAAGUCAUCAUGGCCCUUACGACCAGGGCUACACACGUGCUACAAUGGCAUAUACAAAGAGAAGCGACCUCGCGAGAGCAAGCGGACCUCAUAAAGUAUGUCGUAGUCCGGAUUGGAGUCUGCAACUCGACUCCAUGAAGUCGGAAUCGCUAGUAAUCGUAGAUCAGAAUGCUACGGUGAAUACGUUCCCGGGCCUUGUACACACCGCCCGUCACACCAUGGGAGUGGGUUGCAAAAGAAGUAGGUAGCUUAACCUUCGGGAGGGCGCUUACCACUUUGUGAUUCAUGACUGGGGUGAAGUCGUAACAAGGUAACCGUAGGGGAACCUGCGGUUGGAUCACCU